This 269-nucleotide long non-coding RNA is filed under the name Oryza sativa (Asian cultivated rice). Its description in RNAcentral is "long non-coding RNA (OSAT_LNC000834)". Lineage: Eukaryota; Viridiplantae; Streptophyta; Magnoliopsida; Poales; Poaceae. The record is from RNAcentral.
CCGCAGGUCGAACGGGUUCGUGUCGUAGGCCUUCCACCCGUCGAAGUACGAUGAAUUCUCGCCGUGGUCAUCGCCUGCGGCUUUCGUCGAGAGAAGGUCGAUGCCCUGGUACGCCAUUGAUUUGGUGUCGGACUCCGAGGAUAUCCGAAGCCCGGACCCUGGCUGGAACGCGAGCAGCCGAGCAGGUAGCUACUCUACCUGCCUAGCCACGCAAGGAUGAUCGGACAGACCCCCACAAGAAAAAAAAAAGGAUGAUCGGACAGACAACG